This 429-nucleotide ribosomal RNA is filed under the name Raillietina mitchelli. RNAcentral describes it as "SSU rRNA". It matches the Rfam family "Eukaryotic small subunit ribosomal RNA", at positions 53 to 404 of the family's 1831-position model. Lineage: Eukaryota; Metazoa; Platyhelminthes; Cestoda; Cyclophyllidea; Davaineidae. The record is from RNAcentral.
UUAAAAAAUUUUUUAAGAGCAUGUCUCAGUACAGGCCUUUAUACGGUGAAACCGCGAAUGGCUCAUUAAAUCAGCUAUGGUUUAUUGGAUCAUACCCGUUAAAUGGAUAACUGUAAUAACUCUAGAGCUAAUACAUGCCUCGAUGCCCUGACCCUGUCCUCCUGUGGCUCGUUGUAGCUGCAGUUGAGGGCGGGGGAGGGGUGCACUUAUUAGAUCAGAAGCCAACCGGCGUUGCGCGUGUAUUCAUGUGCAAGGCUGAAGCACUUCUGGUGACUCUGGAUAAUUGUUACAGAUCGCAGUCGGCCUUGAGUCGGCGACGGGUCCUUCAAAUGUCUGCCCUAUCAACUUUCGAUGGUAGGUGACCUGCCUACCAUGGUGAUAACGGGUAACGGGGAAUCAGGGUUCGAUCCGGAGAGGAGCCCGAAGAAC